This is a long non-coding RNA of Gallus gallus (chicken), 2494 nucleotides long. RefSeq lists it as uncharacterized. NCBI's taxonomy places the organism in Eukaryota, Metazoa, Chordata, Aves, Galliformes, Phasianidae. The record is from RefSeq and is a predicted model, not a curated record. The transcript has 4 exons.
GGUAGGGUUGCAACAAAAUUAAAGACCAAAAUAACUUGUGUUCAAAGUUUGCAGGCAUAAAACGUGAUGUUACUUCAAGGUUUGGAUACAGACUUCAUAAAUAUUCAGGGCUGAAGGUCGCAAGCCGAGGUCUGAGAAGAUUUGUAAGUCAGUGGAAUUUCUGCUUUGGAUGAAAUAACUCACGGUUGUAAAUCUAUGUGCUAGCACACUUCUUAAGCAAGAUACAGUACAGGGAAACUACAAAUAGUGUCUACGUUCCUUCUAUGUGGCUGAGAUUAGAAGACUGUUAACAAUAGAGAGUGGGAAAUCUGGGACUGGAACGUCAAGAACAAACCGCAGAAGAAGAGAUUGAGGAGCCCAAAACCAUACUCCGCACUUGAGGUGUGGCCUUACCAGUGCCAAGUACAGAGAGAUGAUCACCUCCUCGCUCCUGCUGGCCACACUAUUUUUGAUAUUUUUUGUAUAUUUUUGAUACAGAUGAAGAUCCCAUCGGCCUUCUUGGCAACCUGGCACCCUGCUGGCUCAUUUUCAGCAAGUUGUUGACCAGCACCUCCAGGACUAUUUCUGUCAAGCAACGUGUGAACCAGCCUUCCCCAAGCUUCGUUGUUUUGUUGCUACCCAAGUGCAGCACAUGACACUUAGCCUUGUUGAAUGUCAUUUUUAUUGGAUUUGGCCCAUUGAUCUAGUCCAUCCAGAUCCCUCUGCAAAGACUUCCUACACUAAGGGAUAUUAGCAAUCCUGACUUACUCACUGUAGUCUGUGAACUUACUGAGGAUGUACUCAAUUCUCUCAUUCUGACCAUUGAUUAAAAUGUUAAACAAAAGUGGCUUAAAGAUUGAGCCCUGUGGAAUGCCACUGAUGACAAGUUACCAACUGGACUGAACUCCAUUUGCUAGAACUCUUUGAGUCUGGCCACUCAGCCACUUCUUUGCCCAGAGAACUGUACACCUGUCCAAGCUAUGUGCAGCCAGUUCUUAUUCAGGAGAAUUCCGUGAGAAACAGUUAUACACUUUGGUCAGUCAGGACUUUCCGUUCACAAACACAAGCUGACUUGUUCUGACCACUGAAUUGUCCCUUCUUUGCUGUAUGAUGGCAUUCAAGAUGAUCAGGCCUAGACUCAGUAUAUGUAGCUCCUUCUGGCAUGAAACAGGUCCAUACAUGAUUGAAGUUAGUUGUCAUAUGCCAGUUUUGUUCAUUUCCUGAUAUUCUUUUUCUCUUCACACUUCCGUGAGAAAUUUAAACCCAAAGGAUUUCUUGAAAUACUGUUCACAUCUGAAAACUGGAAGUCAAAUAAUAAAAAUAUCCUGUUUGAUAUGAGGUCAAUCAUUAACGUAGACAAGGAAAAUUCACAGAGAAGAAUGCUCAGUAUCAAUAAAUUGUCCAAACACUUUUAUAGAAUACACAAAAGUAUUUACGGGGGGGUUAUAAGGAAACAGCAAUCAUUUCUACAGUUGAUCCAUUGUUGUAAAAACGGCCAAAAGGAACAGCUGAGUGAAUAAUUUCGUCAACAUCCUUUCCUCCCCUACACACGAACAUAACCAACUGCAGUGUGUUGAGAAAGAUACUAAUUAUUCAGCCUGUGCAGUUUUGUUUAAGACAUCUGCAAAAUGGAAAUCAAUAAAACCUGAUGUUUUGGAAAAAAGAAUGUUCUAAGCUCUUUUGAACAUUUUUUUCUAACCAUAUUAACUGUGAGUAUGCAAGUUGGCAUAUCAUAUUAGAAAUGACUGGUUAGAUCAGUGAGGAAAGUGAUCUCUGUUUUUGCAGAUUUCUACAUUUGUAAAUGCAGUUUAAAAGAAGGAUAGCAUAUAAAAUUGGAAGACUUUCUUGUUUUUUUCUAAAUUAUGAAAUGAUACAUUAAAACAUAUUUUGUGGGCGCUGUUUACUACUGGGAAGGCAUGUAAUUAUUCUUUUUUUUUUUUUUUUAAUGAAACAUUCACUAAAUAGCUGUUAUAUUGAAUAAAUAAUACAAAACACCCAGAGAGUUGUAUCACAAUUGCAAAGUAAGCAUACUUUUGAUUAUAUUGCUUUAGAAGUGAUGGGAAAUAAAAUUGCUGAUAUUUCUCAAUAAUUAUGCGUCCCAUAGGUAUUUUCUUCUCCCUAAAACAGAGGAGUAAACAAAUGCACUGAGCCAUUACAUUUCUGUAAUGACUUGCAAAAUCUACUGCUAAGAAACUUUUUGGAAAAACUGUUGGGUAAUUGAGCAUAUUAGUCUGAAUGGAGAGCUCUGAUUCAAAAGUAUUUUAGAUCCGCUUUACGUAGUUACAGUGCAAGAGUAGAGAAUUCAGGACACUUUAAAAUCUCACAAAGAGUUACUCGUGGUAGCUGUACUUCCUUUUAAUAAAGAACAUGAUUUUCAAGGUAGUUGUAAUCAAAUAUCAUGGAUGUAAUUGAAAUGAGUUUGCAGCCUUAAGAGAUUAUUACAAGAAGUACAUUUGUAAAGAUUUAAUUCAGUGUACAUAAAAAUUAAAUUUAAGUAACAAUUUGGAUUGGAUAC